UCGCUAACUUCGGAUUUGAAUGCC
Molecule: non-coding RNA, 24 nt
Filed under: Arabidopsis thaliana (thale cress)
Lineage: Eukaryota; Viridiplantae; Streptophyta; Magnoliopsida; Brassicales; Brassicaceae
Source: RNAcentral